Lycium barbarum (goji berry) is the source of this 869-nucleotide long non-coding RNA. RefSeq lists it as uncharacterized. The transcript is spliced from 2 exons. The record is from RefSeq and is a predicted model, not a curated record. Lineage: Eukaryota; Viridiplantae; Streptophyta; Magnoliopsida; Solanales; Solanaceae.
GUGGACGGCCACAGAUGUCUGCCGAUGGAUUUGGCCUUUAAUUUAAAUCCAAUGGCCUUUUUGACUUCUUGCGGCUUGCGGUGCUUAAAUACAGCUUACGUGUCCACCUAUUGUAGCUUAAAUAAAAGUUACGUGUCAAUGUUAUGGUUUAAUGGAAAGACACCUCAUAUCUCUAUUUGAUCUUUCCAUCUACCUAACCUAUCUAAAAUUCUCUACACAUUACAUACGAUUUUAUCUUAUGUUUCCUCUCAAAUUUGUAUCUGUUUCUUUGUCUUUCAAUCUUUGUCUUUCCAAAUUGAUUUUGUUGCUCUUAUUCUCGCUGAUUCCACUUUGAUCUCUCCCGAGUGAGUUCAGUUCAUGAUCUAUUUUUUUCUCUCUUGGAUAUUUCCUUUUAGUUUUGAGCUCAGUGUUGAGUCGGUUACUUCUUUGUUUAAUCUGAUUUUGUUUGUUCUUCUUCGGUUACUUGCUCUUUAACGUUUUGAGGUAGUUGUAAAAAUUUCAAUCUUACAGCCAUAGAUGUUUGGUCAUUGUGCAAGUUAAACCUCACGUAUGUCAACGCUGCUUUUGGAAUCUCACCAGUUUCCUUCAUGAAUUAACCUUAUUCUACGUCAUAAGCGUUCUUCUCAUGAGCCAUCUUUGCCUUUUGGCCAUUGCCUCCACCCAUGGCUUUGUUUGUUCUUCGAUCUUAGCCUGUACAAAUUAGGUUUUUUGUUUUUUUUGAGAAUGUAAAUUGAGUUAUUAUGCUUGUCUAAUUGCAAGAUGCUGGAUUAUUAAUUUAGUAUAUGUAAUGUGGUGUUGGCGGAUUUGUAUGCUUGUAUAAGUUGUCAAGCUCUUGUUUUUCUAUUUAUAUGCUAUUGUGCUUGCGAGUU